CCUAUGAUAGCUCAAUUGGUAGAGCGGAGGACUGUAGAUCCUUAGGUCGCUGGUUCGAAUCCGGCUCGAAGGA
Molecule: transfer RNA, 73 nt
Filed under: Orbicella faveolata
Lineage: Eukaryota; Metazoa; Cnidaria; Anthozoa; Scleractinia; Merulinidae
Description: tRNA-Tyr
Rfam family: tRNA
About the family: Transfer RNA (tRNA) molecules are approximately 80 nucleotides in length. Their secondary structure includes four short double-helical elements and three loops (D, anti-codon, and T loops).
Source: RNAcentral